Colias croceus (clouded yellow) is the source of this 2157-nucleotide long non-coding RNA. RefSeq lists it as uncharacterized. The transcript has 2 exons. The record is from RefSeq and is a predicted model, not a curated record. NCBI's taxonomy places the organism in Eukaryota, Metazoa, Arthropoda, Insecta, Lepidoptera, Pieridae.
UCCGUCGAAAUCUCAAGUUUUUGUGAUGUUGUUGAUGUUGUUUGAUGUUUUUAAAACAUUUUUCAUUAUGGUACGGAACUAUAAAAGAAAAACAGCAGACUCUUACGAUUACGAAACAUUAAUGAAAGCUGUAAAUGAGGUCAAAGCUGGUAAACUUAACGCAUAUGAAGCGGCAAGAAAAUACGUAAUUCCCCGCACUACUAUUGCUGAUAGAGCAAAAAAUAAAAGAGGAGUUGUGAAAAAUAAUCGAGGCCCACCAACUACAUUAAAUAGAGAAUUUGAGCUUAGACUCGCCAAUGGCUUGCGGGUAAUGGAAAAAUAUGGUUUUGGUCUUACAUCUAAAGAAACAUUAAAUUUGGUUAGUUUACACGUAAGGCAAAAUAAUUACAAAACUCCAUUUAAAAACGAAAGGCCAGGACUGGUUUGCUGCCUUUAAGAAAAGACAUAAUCUUUCACUAAAAAAACCACAAGCUGUAGAAAUGUCAAGAAAAACAGUAGCAGAUCCUUUUAUUGUUGAUAAUUAUUUUGACAUUCUCGAAGAAGUUUUAAACGAGCUUGAUCUUAAUGGAAGACCGGACAAAAUAUGGAAUCUUGAUGAAUCCAGUUUCAGAAAAGAUCCAGAAAAAGCAAAAGUGGUCGGUGCACGUGGCUAUGCUAGCACCCGAACAAUUGCCUCGUCUGGCAAAGAUAAUGUUACAAUUUUAUUUACAGCCAAUGCAAUGGGUGAAAAGUUGCCUCCACUAAUAAUAAACCGUGGAAAAAAUACAUGGGACCAACGGACGUCUGAAAAUGCAUAUGAAAAUACAUCAUACGCGGCAACUACGAAUGGAUGGAUUGACUCUUAAGGUUUUCGAAAAAUACAUGUUUAAUACAGUACUACCACAUUAAAGCCAAGACCCCCCCCGCAUUAUUAAUAUUUGACGGGCAUUCAACCCAUAUACAGUUAAAAAUUCUAGAAAGGGCCAAGAAUCUGGGUGUUACUAUAAUUAAAUUGCCAUCUCAUGCGAGCCACUUACUGCAGCCACUGGAUAUAGCAGUUUUUAAAUCGAUGAAGAAUUCGUGGGAUACGAAACUUGUCCAAUGGCAAAGAUUAAAUGUUGGUACCAAAUUACCAAAAGACGAAUUUAGCAGACUAAUAGGCGAAGUUUGGCGAGAAUUGGACCCAAAAAUUAUAAAAAAUGGGUUCAGAAAAAGUGGCGUUUUCCCAUAUAAUAGGAACGUCAUUGAUGAAGACAAAUUUGAUGCAGAAUCCCUAAAUAGAUUUUAUGAAUAUAAGUCAACAAAAAAAGAAGUGCCAUCUCUAAAACACUAAAGUCUACAAGCAGUACUCCAAAAGCCAAAUGUUCCAAAAUCGAUUUCAUCAUCAGUAUCGCAUUCGUCACCCUUGCAAUCAAAUUCUAAAAAUAUCACCAUACUUGAAGAUCGCUAUUUUUCCGAUUCCGAAAAAGUUUCCUUUGAAACUUUACUCUUACAGACAAUAAAAAGAAGUGAUUCGUCUAUCAAAUUAAAAAAGAAAAAGAUCGCUAGAAGCUGUGAAGUAAUAACUAGAGAAGAGUUCCUAGAAAAAAAAGGAAAGAAGAAGAAGUGAAACAAGAUAAAGAAAAAAAUACCAAAACAAAGAAACCUAAGAAACCUGAAACUAAAAACAAAAAUAAGAAAUCCUAUGGCAAUAAAAUAAAAAGCAAUCAACAAAGUAAUGGCGAAGUAACUGAUGACGAUUCAACAAAGGUAAAUAAAAUUAAGAAAAUAUCUUCCAAGUAUGAAGACGAUAGCGAAGAGUCAGAAGAUGGAUCAGUAAAGAAAAAUAAGACUAAGAUUGUGACUAACAAGCAUCAAGAUGAUAGCGAAGAAAUAGAAAAAGAAUCGCCAAAGAAAAAAAGACUAGGAAAAGAAUAUCCAAAAAGAAUUCAAGAAAAAAGAAGGGUAGUUUAAUGGUUACUGUACCCGUAAUUAUUUUUCUUUGCUUUGGAGGACGUUAUGUUUGUUUUUUUUUAUUUUAUUCACUAUUUGUUUUUUAGUAAGAAAUGCGAUAAGUGUUUCAAUUACGUCUUAUAUUCUUUGUUUAAAAACUGGUACUGAUUAUGAUACGGAGAUUAGUUAGUAAAAUAGUACUGUGAUCUUUUAAUUGUGCCCGAAUAAUAAAUUACGUUACUUUCA